UACGAAGGGGGCUAGCGUUGCUCGGAAUCACUGGGCGUAAAGGGUGCGUAGGCGGGUUUUUAAGUCAGGGGUGAAAUCCUGGAGCUCAACUCCAGAACUGCCUUUGAUACUGAAAAUCUUGAGUCCGGGGGAGGUGAGUGGAACUGCGAGUGUAGAGGUGAAAUUCGUAGAUAUUCGCAAGAACACCAGUGGCGAAGGCGGCUCACUGGCCCGGUACUGACGCUGAGGCACGAAAGCGUGGGGAGCAAACAGG
Molecule: ribosomal RNA, 253 nt
Filed under: uncultured bacterium
Lineage: Bacteria
Description: partial 16S ribosomal RNA
Rfam family: Bacterial small subunit ribosomal RNA
Source: RNAcentral